Quercus robur (English oak) is the source of this 1230-nucleotide long non-coding RNA. RefSeq lists it as uncharacterized. NCBI's taxonomy places the organism in Eukaryota, Viridiplantae, Streptophyta, Magnoliopsida, Fagales, Fagaceae. The record is from RefSeq and is a predicted model, not a curated record. The transcript has 2 exons.
CCUAACCUUUUGUAAUGUAAUUUACAAAAUAUCGGCAAAGGUAUUGGUUAAUAGGUUGGAAUUAAAAAAAAAUACUUCUAUGUAUUAUUUCUGAGAGUUAAACUGCUUUUGUGCCCAGUAGCUUGAUAACUGAUAAUUUAGUGGAGGUGUGUCUUUGCAUUCUAUGAAAAACUUCCAUGUAUUAUUUCAGUUCCAAUACUACAGUGAUAUCAGUACUUUUUGGGGUGCUUCUAGUUCAGGCUACUUUGAGAAGUAUCUAGGCUCACCUCCUGUGAUUGGUCGAGGGAAAAGGAAAGCUUUGGAGGAUAUUAAAAUUUGAAUCUAGGAUAAAAUCAAAGGGUGAAACUUUGGAAGAAGAAAUAUAUUUCUUCUGUUGGUAGAGGGCUGUUAAUUCCAGCUAUUCGUGUGGGAUGUGUUCAGCGGAGCCAGAAACUCUGCAUCAUUUACUGUGGAGCGGCUCUUUUGUGAGAUUUUUUUUUUUUUUUUUUUUUUUUUUUUUUUUUUUUUUUUUUUUUUUUGAGAUUGAUAUAGGCAUUACAGGAUGGAUUGAGAGAGUUGCAACUUAGGGAAGAUUUAUUAUUUAGAUGCUGAGAGAAAAACAUCGCUGACAGUAGAAAUUUUCUUCACUGGAGCCUGGAUGUUGUGGAAUUGUUGAAAUGAAUCUCGCCUAAGGGAAUCCACGUGAACUCCAGAACAAACUUUCCACAAAGCCACAAGGGACGCACUGGAGUUCACUGAAGCCAAUCAAGCUGCCCUUGGGCACCCUCCCCUUCUAUCCAGUUUUCAAGGCUUUAUUUAGCUCAGCAAGGCGCUUUUGUUUGGCCUCAUUCUCAAUCUGCCUCUGGUACUCCAAAUGCUCUUCAAGCGUUCUUUGCUCUUUCUCCUCUUCAGAUGUAAGUUUCCUUUCCUGUUGCUCCAAUUCGUCAGUGGUUACCGGAUCCACGAUCUCAGGAUUAGGACGAUCAUCUCCGUCAUGUGCAGCUGGAAAGGAACUGAAGCACAGAACAGGAGAAAAUAUAAUGAGCUUUAUUUGAGCCUAGGGAUUGAGAGAACAUACUGCCAAAGAUAUAUGCAAUUCCAGUUUACAUAUGUUAUAGUCAAUGACAAUGUUAAAAGUAUGAACAAAGACUUAUAUUUGCUGCACAUUUUCCUGCAGCUCCUCGCUACCUCCAGCUGCCUACAAUAAGCAAAUUGUAUAUAAUUGGGAGUUUGGGACAUUUAUUUUCAUAA